AGCUCCAAUAGCGUAUAUUGAAGUUGUUGCAGUUAAAAAGCUCGUAGUUGGAUUUCUGAUGGGAGGGACUAGUCCAGCACUCUGUGUGGGAAAUUGUGUCCUCUUCGGACAUCCUUGGGUGGGUCUUGUCUGGUAUUAAGCUGUCAGUCAAGGGAUGCCCAUUGUUUACAAUGAAAAAAUUAGAGUGUUCAAAGCAAGCUUAUGCCAUUGAAUACAUUAGCAUGGAAUAAUAAGAUAGAGUCCUGGUACUAUUUUGUUGGUUUGCGUACCGAGGUAAUGAUUAAUAGGGACAGUUGGGGGUAUUUGUAUUCAGUAUUCAGUGGUUAAAUACUUAGACCUACGGAGGAUAAACUACUGCAACAUUAUUUACCAAGUAUGUUUUCA
This 384-nucleotide ribosomal RNA is filed under the name uncultured eukaryote. RNAcentral's name for it is "SSU rRNA". It matches the Rfam family "Eukaryotic small subunit ribosomal RNA", at positions 587 to 972 of the family's 1831-position model. The record is from RNAcentral.